RNAcentral lists this ribosomal RNA (253 nucleotides) under uncultured bacterium. RNAcentral's name for it is "partial 16S ribosomal RNA". It matches the Rfam family "Bacterial small subunit ribosomal RNA", at positions 524 to 776 of the family's 1533-position model. The record is from RNAcentral.
UACGGGGGGGGCAAGCGUUGUUCGGAAUUACUGGGCGUAAAGGGCUCGUAGGCGGCCAACUAAGUCAGACGUGGAAUCCCCAGGCUCAACCUGGGAACUGCGUCUGAUACUGGAUGGCUUGAAUCCGGGAGAGGGAUGCAGAAUUCCAGGUGUAGCGGUGAAAUGCGUAGAUAUCUGGAGGAAUACCGGUGGCGAAGGCGGCAUCCUGGACCGGCAUUGACGCUGAGGAGCGAAAGCCAGGGGAGCAAACGGG